CCGGGCGGCGUCAGCCCUACAAGACGGGACGGAGCGGCACAGGCAGGCCGACAGAGGCACGCGUUUCCCCGGGCUGGUGUCACCGAACUGCCGCAGCGGACUUCAGGUCGUCAGCAUGACUGAGAAGGUGAGCGCCGAGGAGAUGGAGGAGAUCAGGGAGGGCUUCCAGAAAGUGGAUGUGGACGGCAGCGGUUACAUCUGCGCCUCGGAGCUGGGCGAUCUGUUCCGG
Fundulus heteroclitus (mummichog) is the source of this 229-nucleotide long non-coding RNA. RefSeq lists it as uncharacterized. The transcript has 3 exons. Lineage: Eukaryota; Metazoa; Chordata; Actinopteri; Cyprinodontiformes; Fundulidae. The record is from RefSeq and is a predicted model, not a curated record.